Capronia epimyces CBS 606.96 is the source of this 111-nucleotide transfer RNA. It matches the Rfam family "tRNA". Rfam says of the family: Transfer RNA (tRNA) molecules are approximately 80 nucleotides in length. The record is from Rfam. Lineage: Eukaryota; Fungi; Ascomycota; Eurotiomycetes; Chaetothyriales; Herpotrichiellaceae.
GAUCCUGUGACGCAGUCGGUUAGCGUGUCGUUCUUAUAUUGUAUGCUGUGCAUGCGGUAUGACUCCUUUCGAGCAAUGCGAAAGUCGCGAGUUCAAAUCUCGCCAGGAUCA